This 912-nucleotide long non-coding RNA is filed under the name Mytilus galloprovincialis (Mediterranean mussel). The record is from RNAcentral. Lineage: Eukaryota; Metazoa; Mollusca; Bivalvia; Mytilida; Mytilidae.
CCACCCUCCUGUUUGGUUUUAAACAGAUAUUAGUUAAAAUAUUGAUAUUCAUGAAUGUAUCAUUUGUGCAGUACAGUAGUACAGUGACAGAUUCGGGGGGGGGGGGGGGUGGGAUUGUUGUCAUACAUAUGUCGUUGAUCCAGGCAAAUCAUUUAUCAUGUCAAAAUCAUGAUACAGAAGGAAAUUUCCAUAUGCACGAUCAGAAUUUUCAGUACAGAAAAUAUUUUUUACUGAAUAGAGAAAAAUAGAACAUCUUCCCCUAUUAUACUCUCCUUUUCAUGACCCUAAUAAAUGGGAUAGUUUUGUUUGUUUUAUUAAACUGUUUUUGUUUUCAAAAAUAAUAUUUGUACAAGGUGUUGUUAAUAACUGUAAUGGACAUUAAAUAUAUAUGCCAUGCCUUCUCACACGACGUCGUACUUUUUAUUUUCUCUUCCUGUGCAAUAUGAUAUUAAACUCAUUAUGCAGAGCAAUUUUUAUGCCGCUACUUGCAUAAUUGUUAAAUCGUAUUAAACAUGUUAAAUUCUGUAUCAGAUUUAUAUUAAUAUUAAAGUUACAUAUAUCUUGAAUAUUGAAAACGGAUUCAAAUUAUUUACUGGCUUUCAUAUUGAUUUAAAAAUAUUUGGUUUGUGUUUGUUUUUUGUUUUUUUUUUUCCAUUGUAGAUGUGAGAAAAAAGCAGCUCUGUUUCUCUUAAAAUUGUCACAUGGUGUCUUAUGUCGUCUGAAUACAUAAUGUAUGUUAUUGAUCCGUAAUAAUUAUAUAUUUCAAAAUGUUUAUUUGGCACGCCAUACUCGAUAAAAGUGCGGACGUGAAAGAAAGCACUCUUCACGUAAACGUCAACGAAGAUUGCAUUUUGAAAAAAUACAAAAUAUAGAUCUAAAUAAAGAAAUAUAUAAAAAUAUAUAAACAUAUUU